This 733-nucleotide ribosomal RNA is filed under the name uncultured Ascomycota. Its description in RNAcentral is "SSU rRNA". It matches the Rfam family "Eukaryotic small subunit ribosomal RNA", at positions 402 to 1142 of the family's 1831-position model. Lineage: Eukaryota; Fungi; Ascomycota. The record is from RNAcentral.
AACGGCUACCACAUCCAAGGAUGGCAGCAGGCGCGCAAAUUACCCAAUCCCGACACGGGGAGGUAGUGACAAUAAAUAACAAGCCAGGGCCCUUCCGGGUUUUGGCAUUGGAAUGAGUACAAUGUAAACACCUUAACGAGGAACAAUUGGAGGACAAGUCUGGUGCCAGCACCCGCGGUAAUUCCAGCUCCAAUAGCGUAUAUUAAAGUUGUUGCAGUUAAAAAGCUCGUAGUUGAAAUUGGGCGUGGCUGGCCGGUCCGCCUCACGGUGUGCACUGGUCUCGGCCGCGCUUUCCUCUUGGGCCGCCCGAGAGCGCUUGAUUGUGCGCUCGGGACGGCUCAGGACUUUUACUUUGAAAAAAUUAGAGUGUUCAAAGCAGGCAUUUGCUCGGAUACAUUAGCAUGGAAUAAUAGAAUAGGACGUCGAUCCUAUUUUGUUGGUUUCUAGGACCGCCGUAAUGAUUAAUAGGGAUAGUUGGGGGCAUUAGUAUUCAAUUGUCAGAGGUGAAAUUCUUGGAUUUAUUGAAGACUAACUACUGCGAAAGCAUUUGCCAAGGAUGUUUUCAUUAAUCAAGAACGAAAGUUAGGGGAUCGAAGACGAUUAGAUACCGUCGUAGUCUUAACCAUAAACUAUGCCGACUAGGGAUCGGGCGCAGUCUCAAACGACUCGCUCGGCACCUUAAGAGAAAUCAAAGUUUUUGGGUUCUGGGGGGAGUAUGGUCGCAAGGCUGAAA